AGAGUUUGAUCAUGGCUCAGGACGAACGCUGGCGGCACGCUUAACACAUGCAAGUCGAACGAGAGAAGAGGAGCUUGCUUUUCUGAUCUAGUGGCGGACGGGUGAGUAACACGUGAGCAAUCUGCCUUUCAGAGGGGGAUACCGAUUGGAAACGAUCGUUAAUACCGCAUAACAUAAUUGAACCGCAUGAUUUGAUUAUCAAAGAUUUAUCGCUGAAAGAUGAGCUCGCGUCUGAUUAGCUAGUUGGUAAGGUAACGGCUUACCAAGGCGACGAUCAGUAGCCGGACUGAGAGGUUGAUCGGCCACAUUGGGACUGAGACACGGCCCAGACUCCUACGGGAGGCAGCAGUGGGGAAUAUUGCACAAUGGAGGAAACUCUGAUGCAGCGAUGCCGCGUGAGGGAAGAAGGUUUUAGGAUUGUAAACCUCUGUCUUCAGGGACGAAAAAAGACGGUACCUGAGGAGGAAGCUCCGGCUAACUACGUGCCAGCAGCCGCGGUAAUACGUAGGGAGCGAGCGUUGUCCGGAAUUACUGGGUGUAAAGGGAGCGUAGGCGGGAUCGCAAGUCAGAUGUGAAAACUAUGGGCUUAACCCAUAAACUGCAUUUGAAACUGUGGUUCUUGAGUGAAGUAGAGGUAAGCGGAAUUCCUAGUGUAGCGGUGAAAUGCGUAGAUAUUAGGAGGAACAUCAGUGGCGAAGGCGGCUUACUGGGCUUUAACUGACGCUGGGGCUCGAAAGCGUGGGGAGCAAACAGGAUUAGAUACCCUGGUAGUCCACGCCGUAAACGAUGAUUACUAGGUGUGGGGGGACUGACCCCUUCCGUGCCGCAGCAAACGCAAUAAGUAAUCCACCUGGGGAGUACGACCGCAAGGUUGAAACUCAAAGGAAUUGACGGGGGCCCGCACAAGCAGUGGAGUAUGUGGAUUAAUUCGAAGCAACGCGAAGAACCUUACCAGGUCUUGACAUCGUAUGCAUAGCUCAGAGAUGAGUGAAAUCUCUUCGGAGACAUAUAGACAGGUGGUGCAUGGUUGUCGUCAGCUCGUGUCGUGAGAUGUUGGGUUAAGUCCCGCAACGAGCGCAACCCUUACUGUUAGUUGCUACGCAAGAGCACUCUAGCAGGACUGCCGUUGACAAAACGGAGGAAGGUGGGGAUGACGUCAAAUCAUCAUGCCCCUUAUGACCUGGGCCUCACACGUACUACAAUGGCUGUCAACAGAGGGAAGCAAAGCCGCGAGGUGGAGCGAACCCCUAAAAGCAGUCUUAGUUCGGAUUGUAGGCUGCAACCCGCCUACAUGAAGUCGGAAUUGCUAGUAAUCGCAGAUCAGCAUGCUGCGGUGAAUACGUUCCCGGGCCUUGUACACACCGCCCGUCACGCCAUGGGAGUCGGUAACACCCGAAGCCUGUAGUCUAACCGCAAGGAGGACGCAGUCGAAGGUGGGAUUGAUGACUGGGGUGAAGUCGUAACAAGGUA
Molecule: ribosomal RNA, 1470 nt
Filed under: metagenome
Description: bacterial SSU rRNA
Rfam family: Bacterial small subunit ribosomal RNA
Source: RNAcentral